Molecule: long non-coding RNA, 3622 nt
Organism: Macaca mulatta (Rhesus monkey)
Lineage: Eukaryota; Metazoa; Chordata; Mammalia; Primates; Cercopithecidae
Source: Ensembl
CCUGGUUUUAGCUCAGGAACCCACUCUGAUGUUAAUGUUGUUCCUUGGGGAAAGGCCAUCUUAACUUCAGUAGUCUGUUUUUAACCAGUUUCCAGGAAUGCCCCAUGGACAAAUGAAGGGCAUAGGGGGAGAGGUGUCAAGCUUGUAUGCCCCUUUGCCAACUGUUGGCCUCUGCAGAGACUUGAUUCUCCCUCCAUCUCUGUAUAAAAGGGCUCAGCUAUUCUGUCUGGAUCUAGAGGCUUUCAAGUCCAAAUGUCUCAGUAAUGGGAAAGAGAAAAAGCGUUAAAUGGCUCACCUGCUAGUACUCAAUGAUAGUUACAGAAAUCCUUCUGUGUGUGGCUAUUAGAUGGAUUGCUGAGUUGAUGAGAGGAGGAGCUCUGGGGCCUGUGCCUCUGGGAAAGCAGAAUCUUUCAGAAGACUGGAAGAGAAGAUCUGAAGGCAGCAAAUCUCAGGUGCUAGAACACAAGGUGCAGACUGAGCAGCUGGAAAAGAGAGAUGGCUGAUGCUGAGUGCUCAGGGGUGGCUUCUGGAAGAAAAAGACUUGAGCUGAGAUGGUUCAAACAGGCAGGAACGAAGGCAUUCCAGGCUGGGAGCAGAGUAUGAGCAAAGGCGGGGAGAUUCCUGGCAGUGACUGUAAGUCCUGAAAACGGCUGUGACAGUCUUCCCGGUGAAUGGCAGCAGCUCCACAGUUUGCACACAGGAGAGAUUUGGGGGCAAUUUUGAUAAAGGGGAGUGUGUUUUCAUAGCACACACACAGUUUCUUCUUGGACCGUGUGCUGAUUGGAAGUGGGAAAUAGGGGGAGAGGGUAGAGCAAUCUGAUGUAGAUGAGGGUGGAGGCACGGGCCCCCACAAUUCACUCUGUGGUGACAUUGAAACACACACAAGGUGUGUGUAUCUAAAAUACAGUGAUUGCACACUUAAAAAUGGUAAAACUUUAACACACACACACACACACACACACACACACAUACUGUGUUUCAAUGCCACUACAGAGUGAACCGGAUCUAAAUAGGACCCAUCUAUUGUGAUUGGUUGAUAUAUCUAUUUCAAAUCUGAAAAUACCCCCUUUCUUUCUCCUCUUCCCUCGCAAUCUAUUUUUUGAAGAAACUAGAUCGUUUGUUCUGUAGUGAUUCAAGCAGUCUGGGUUUGGUGGUUGACAUGCUCGUUUGUCCCCAGUAUUUUCUGUAAUUUGGUAGUUAGAUCUAAAGGCUUGAUCAGAUUCAGGGUCAGAUUUUGGGGAUCAUUAAUUAUAAGAGGUGCUGUGUAGUUCCAGUGUAAUGGUUAUCUCUUCCUCUUUGUGUUGUUGAAGCCAUUGCUCAUACACUAGAUCUGUUAUUUCAUUAGAGGCUGCAAAAUGCUGAUUUUCCAAUUUUAUUGUUCCCUCCACAUUUAUGAGCUGGAAUACUUCUAUAAAAAGAAACUUCCCCAUAUCAACUAUUUGGGUACUCUGAGGUAUAGUUCACAUAGAUAAGGCAAGAUGAAUGCUUGAUUUGGUUACCAAUUUUCAAAAUAAUGAGUUGGUUCCUGGCAUCCUCCAAAGUUGACCAAUGAUUUUUUUUGUCUUUAUGAUCUCAUAUAUUUUAAUGUAUUUGAUGCUUUGUUAUUUCAUGGCUCAUGUUGUUCUUAUUUGGGAAUUAGGAGUUUUGAGUUGGUGGCAUAACCACACAGAGAGGAGCUGUUGCCAGCUAUUCCCCAAACACAGUAAUUUGACUGUAUGUCCCUAGGAGAAUAUACCCUAUAGACAAAAGGAACUAAAAAAGAGCUUACAUUAUUUUUUCUUUUUCUUUUUCUUUUUUUUUUUUUUUUUGAGACGGAGUUUCGUUCUUGUUGCCCAGGCUGGAGUGCAAUGGCGCAAUCUCCAGCUCACUGCAACCUCUGCCUCCUGGGUUCAAGCCAUUCUCCUGCCUCAGCCUCCCGAGUAGCUGGGAUUAUAGGCAUGGGCCACCACACCCGACUAAUUUUGUAUUUUUAGUGGAGAUGGGGUUUCUCUAUGUUGGUCAGGCUGGUCUCGAACUCCCAACCUCAGGUGAUCCGCCCACCUCGGCCUCCCAAAGUGCGGGGAUUAUAGGCGUGAGCCACCACGCCUGGCACUUACACUAUUUUCAUUAGUUAUAUUAUUGUUGGUAUUAUUAGUAUUGCUGAUUUAAAACUUUUGCAUGUGCCAUGGUAGGAUAAAGCAGGGAAGUAAUUAUACAGUAUUGGUGCUUUUGGGAACCAUGAGUUUCAGCAUGAGAGAAAGGAGAUACAUGAGCAAAAGAAAGAAAAAGUGAGGUUAAAUAGAACCUGUCUAGUUUUAAAUUUGAAUAGGAAGUAUCAACAGGGGCUCAGAAUUUGUUUUAUCCUAAAAAGAAUUUCGUAGCUCUGUCCUCCAAAAAGGUUCAGAAACAAUGAUUAAACCAGUAUCACCAAGCACCACACUCUCAAGCACCACAAUAAUGAUCUCUGAAAAGAAUCUUCUAAAGAGGAUUUUUUUUUAAGUUAGAAUUAAAAUAAAGCAAAUCAGAGCAAUGACAUGGUCAUAUAUGAGCUACAUUGAAUCCCCUAAAAUAUUAUAGGGUUGGUAGGAGAAAUCCUCUGGCAAUACUCAACAGAUAGUAAUCCAUACAGGUCAACAAAUAAGGCAGGCCAGGAACAGUGGCUCACACCUGUAAUCCCAGCACUUUGGGAGGCUGAGGCAGGUGGAUUGCUUGAGCCUAGGUGUUCAAGACCAGCCUGGACAACACAGUGAGAACUUGUUUAUACAAAACACUCAAAAAUUAGCCUGGUGUGGUGGCAUGCACCUGUAGUCCCAACUACUCAGGAGGUUGAGGCUGGAGGAUUGCUUAACCCAGGGAGGUCGAGGCUGCAGUGAGCUAUCAUCAUGCCAUUGCACUCCAACCUGGGCAACAGAGCAAGACUCAGUCUUGAGGAAAAAGACUCACACUGAAGUAACAGCAGAUUCCAGGUCUGAGGCAGGAAAUGCACAAGAUGAUUCAGAUCAGAAAGAAGGAAGGCAUCAAUGAUGAAUAGGGUUGUAUCAAAAGUAUAAAUUAACACCUUAAAUAAUUACCAUCAGGAAAGAAAACAAUUCCUAUAUUCUCCAUUGACUAAUGGAUAAAAUGCAGUUGCAAAAAAAUUCUAACAGUUUUGGAAACAUCAACUGAUGGAAGAGAACUGACACAUGCAAAUGAACCAAGAGCUUCAAUUAUGUGUACUUAGUUCCCCUGAUCAACUCUCUUCAUCCAACUCCCUAACUGCAUUUUUAUGACAGCAAUCAUGGCAGUAAAAUCAUUUCUCAGUUUGCCUUGCAGUUCUGAUUAAGAGUAUUGAGGCUUGACAAAAAUAUUCUAAACAAAACAUCUCUGUGAGCCACUCAUUGACAUUUUGGUGAAAAAUGAUUUUAUUCACCUUAAUGAGUCUUCUGCUCUUAGUCAUAGCACUGUUGAUAUUUUCCUCUAUGUUCUGUGGAAUACUGUGUUGGUGGAAAAAAAGAUGCUUUCCUCUACACCAGUCUCAAGUUUGAAAACCUAGAGCAGCAUCUUCUUAUUAAGAUAGCACACAUCUGUGUGGUAAAGCAAGCUUUCAGAACAACUUCUCAUAUUAUUAAAAACUGGCCCUAAGUGACAAGUGUUUAAAUGCUAA